Ipomoea triloba (trilobed morning glory) is the source of this 468-nucleotide long non-coding RNA. RefSeq lists it as uncharacterized. The record is from RefSeq and is a predicted model, not a curated record. The transcript has 3 exons. NCBI's taxonomy places the organism in Eukaryota, Viridiplantae, Streptophyta, Magnoliopsida, Solanales, Convolvulaceae.
AUCAACUCCAAAAGUCUUCUAUGAGGACUAGUAACCCGGUGGAGAGUCUCUCUCUCCUUCCGUCUCUCACUCUCCGUCUGUCUCUCUCUCCAUAGCCGGCUUCUCGCUCCGGCGGUCUAAGAGGCUGAAGGCAACAUCGUCAGAUGCUGUGCAAGAUGGUGCUUAUGUGUGUGCAACCAACAAUGGUGGGGAUGACCAAAAUGUAGUUCAAGAUAGUACGGCCAGUGAAGAUUUUAGCUAGGAACAUGGACUUUGCAGUGGGAGUUGCAGCACAUGUUCGGUGACAACCAAUUUUAGUCUCACAAGAUCCUUUUUUUUUUCUUUACAUAACUUUUACCAAUUAAAGUAUGGUUAGCGUUUCUUGGCUUAGUAGUGACUAGGGUGCAUUUUGUAAGGAAUGCAUUAUAUCAUUCGACAAUUUUUGAUGAGUUUAUUACAGAUUUUUGUUUUGCACGCAUUGUGCACGCA